CAACUUGAGAGUUUGAUCCUGGCUCAGAACGAACGCUGGCGGCAGGCUUAACACAUGCAAGUCGAAC
RNAcentral lists this ribosomal RNA (67 nucleotides) under Hyphomicrobiales bacterium. RNAcentral's name for it is "partial 16S ribosomal RNA". It matches the Rfam family "Bacterial small subunit ribosomal RNA", at positions 1 to 67 of the family's 1533-position model. The record is from RNAcentral. RNAcentral also lists the same sequence under 2 other names. Lineage: Bacteria; Pseudomonadati; Pseudomonadota; Alphaproteobacteria; Hyphomicrobiales.